RNAcentral lists this ribosomal RNA (370 nucleotides) under uncultured Desulfobulbus sp. RNAcentral describes it as "bacterial SSU rRNA". It matches the Rfam family "Bacterial small subunit ribosomal RNA", at positions 1011 to 1382 of the family's 1533-position model. The record is from RNAcentral. Lineage: Bacteria; Pseudomonadati; Thermodesulfobacteriota; Desulfobulbia; Desulfobulbales; Desulfobulbaceae.
CUCCAUCUGGAAGAAUCUGGAGACAGGUGCUGCAUGGCUGUCGUCAGCUCGUGUCGUGAGAUGUUGGGUUAAGUCCCGCAACGAGCGCAACCCUUGCCUUUAGUUGCCAGCAGUUCGGCUGGGCACUCUAAAGGGACUGCCGGUGUUAAACCGGAGGAAGGUGGGGAUGACGUCAAGUCCUCAUGGCCUUUAUGACCAGGGCUACACACGUACUACAAUGGCCGAUACAAAGGGCAGCGACACUGCGAGGUGAAGCCAAUCCCGUAAAAUCGGUCUCAGUCCGGAUUGGAGUCUGCAACUCGACUCCAUGAAGUUGGAGUCGCUAGUAAUCGUGGAUCAGCAUGCCACGGUGAAUACGUUCCCGGGCCUU